UGACUGAGUGGCGGACGGGUGAGUAACGCGUGGGUAACCUGCCUCAUACAGGGGGAUAACAGUUGGAAACGACUGCUAAUACCGCAUAAGCGCACAGGGUCGCAUGACCUGGUGUGAAAAACUCCGGUGGUAUGAGAUGGACCCGCGUCUGAUUAGCCAGUUGGUGGGGUAACGGCCUACCAAAGCGACGAUCAGUAGCCGACCUGAGAGGGUGACCGGCCACAUUGGGACUGAGACACGGCCCAAACUCC
Molecule: ribosomal RNA, 251 nt
Filed under: uncultured Roseburia sp.
Lineage: Bacteria; Bacillati; Bacillota; Clostridia; Lachnospirales; Lachnospiraceae
Description: partial 16S ribosomal RNA
Rfam family: Bacterial small subunit ribosomal RNA
Source: RNAcentral